Molecule: ribosomal RNA, 468 nt
Filed under: uncultured bacterium
Lineage: Bacteria
Description: partial 16S ribosomal RNA
Rfam family: Bacterial small subunit ribosomal RNA
Source: RNAcentral
GACGAACGCUGGCGGCGUGCUUAACACAUGCAAGUCGAACGGAAAGGCCCUGCUUUUGUGGGGUGCUCGAGUGGCGAACGGGUGAGUAACCCGUGAGUAACCUGCCCUUUACUUUGGGAUAACUUCAGGAAACUGGGGCUAAUACCGGAUAGGAGCUCCUGCUGCAUGGUGGGGGUUGGAAAGUUUCGGCGGGUGGGGAUGGGCUCGCGGCUUAUCAGCUUGUUGGUGGGGUAGUGGCUUACCAAGGCUUUGACGGGUAGCCGGCCUGAGAGGGUGACCGGACACAUUGGGACUGAGAUACGACCCAGACUCGUACGGGAGGCAGCAGUGGAGAAUAUUGCACAGUGGGCGGAAGCCUGAUGCAGCAACGCCGCGUGCGGGAUGACGGCCUUCGGGUUGUAAACCGCUUUCGCCUGUGACGAAGCGUGAGUGACGGUAAUGGGUAAAGAAGCACCGGCUAACUACGUG